CUCUAUGUAGUGCGUCACGAUGAUAAGUCCCGAACGCUCUCCUCUCCCUUUCCCCUCGCUCGCUUCCUCCUCCCUCACCCGCAGAACCCUAGCCGCUCCUCUCCUCUCCCCAGCCGCCACCGGCCACCUCCCAGCCCUCCUCCUCCGCCUCGUCGCCCUCGCCACCUUGAGCUCGCAGCGAGCGCUCUGCUCUGGCGGCGGCGGCGGUGGCCUCUUGUGGCGGAGCAGGAGGGGGAAGAUGGUGGCGGCGGCGCCCUCUGGCGGCGGAGGAAGAGGAGGAGGAGGGGGAGAUGGUGGCGCCGACGCUUGUUCAGGGACUCGCUCAAGGUGCUCGAGCCCGACAUCCAGCAUGCCAACAACCUCCCCGCUGCGUGCCUCUUCCUCUUCCUCCUACAGGGGACCAACUGCAGCCUCGCUGGCGCCCUCGGCCUCCUCAUGUUCCCCAUCUACAAGACAAUGGGACUGUUGACCGGAUGCAAGAGCUUCUUCAAAAAAUCCAUGCUUUCAGAUAUUGCAAGGAAGGCUUUCCUUCACAAAGUAUGUGCCUCUUUUCGGUAGCUUUCAGCUUGUACUAUGUCCUUACAUGUAUUGAACCUAGAAAAAAUAUGCAUUCAUCUGCAUUUAUGUUAUUGUUUUUUUGCGGGUGAGCACAUAUGUUAAUACCGUGUUUUUAUUUGCCUCUUUUGUGAUAGUUUAAGGUGAAAAAAAAGUAUUUAUAAUUGUGACAUGGACUACAGACUUUCCCUAUGUUUUUAGGUGUGACGGUUGGUGUCUUGACCACUGAUAUAUGUGUCUGGAUUUAGUUGAUAUACGCCUACUGUGUUUCAGGCGUGGUGUUCUUUCUUGAAUAAAUUGGCAGAUGCUUGCUUCUGUUAAUUAAAGCUUCUGCAUUAGGAGGUACUGCGUUGUGCUUGAAUGCAAUGUCUUGGUUUAGAGAGCAGCCAAGCCCAGUCAACAAUUAGUACAAGUAGUUAUGAGAUGAGGCAGCGGACAACAGAGAGAGCCAGUCGCUGUAUAUGCAAUGCAUGAAAGUGGAUGUUGAUUCCAUUCAAGUAAUGAAUAAAUAGUACUCCCUCCGUCCCACAAUAUAAGAUGUUAUAAGAGAACUUAGGCAAUGGGACUGUUGACAGGGUGCAAGAGCUUCUUCAGAAAAUCCAUGCCGCUUUCCGAAAUUGCAAUUUUGCUCAAGGUAAAACCAGCCAAGCUAGAUGCCAGUCCGUUCCUGCAUUGUCGUUGACACAGUUAGGUUCAAACCUGUCUGAUCAUCUCCUGUAAUAUGAAAAUAAUAUUAGCUCUUAGAUCAAUUCAGUUCUUGUAGCACAGCAUUCAAACACUUGAUGAUUUUCCUCUUUGUGCAGCCUUGUUUGAGGCUUUCCUCAUUUUAGAUCAUUCACCUCCGGAGCCCUGUUUUUCCAUGCAAGACUAGGAGCAACAGCUCUCUUCUUUUAUUUGCUGUUACAACAUACAAUUGACUUAUGCCUAGGUAUCAUAUUGCAUUAAUAGCCAUCUUAGAGUAUGGGUCCAGUUAUUGCUUAAUAUGUUGGUUCUAUGCUUGAGAGUCUCUUUAGAACUGAAAAUUCCAUUGGAAAUUAUUUGUGUUUGUGAUACAUGGACAUGCAACUACAAUGGGAAAUUGAGUUAAGAUACAGUGGACAAGGGAUCAGAAAUGUUGUUAGUAUGACUGAUGCCAGCUUGGAUUCCCUGGAACCUAUUUUCAUCUGCUUUUUAUGCUUCCAUGGUACUGAAAUCAGUUAAUAAUGUUAGACAUAAUUUUAUUUUGCGGAUUGUGCCUCACUCUCUUUUUAUGCAUGCUCCUGAUGUACUGAUUAGUUGUUAUAGUGCAUAUUUUUGAGGCUAUCAUCAGGUCAGUGGUUAUAUGUUGUAAAUUUUUCAUGGUACUGUUGUAAAUUUUUCUUUUGCGUUGCUCCUUUCAUGUCUGUUUUUUUAGGAAACUAUUUGAACUCUUCCACAGGUCAGUGGUUAUAUGUUGUUUUUCUUUAGAAGUUUUCUUGCUAUGAUGAAGUGCACCCUAGGUCCUCGAACUAUUUCAGAGGUGUCACGUAGCUUGUCUAUGGCAGCUACUGAUGAGAAUACACAUCUAUUUAUUCCAUUGAUGAGACCUGUCAAAUUUCAGUGCUUUUGUGUUUUAGUCCAUGAAAGCUUGUCCUUCUACUGUAAAACAAUAGGGAUUUCGUUUCUUAUGUCUUGGGGUAAAAAAUUUGUCAUGUUUUCCCUUUAGAUGUGGUUCAGUAUAGAAAAAUAUAAUUUAUGUUGAAUCUAUAGGAUCUGUGCUAAAUCUACAGCUACUAUUCUGUAAGGUAUGCAAGAUUUUACCUUUCUGAUAUGGCUGUAACCCGUAGCAAUUGUGCUAAAUCCAAAGCUAUUAUCCUCUUCUGUUCCAGAUAGUAUGGCGGAGAUCUAGAAGAAGGUCCAUAGACUGUUCGCCUAUGGGAAUCACGACCACUGAAGAGAGUAUAUGACCCAUAUUCACCUCGUCAUGUGUCUUCAGAUACAACCCGCUUCAGAGACAUGCCUAGGUAGCUACCCUAUGCCCAGUUUUACAAUUCCUCUGCGUUCUCUAGCUAAAGACAACAUAAUCAGAUUACUUUGUAAAUAGCACAUUGCAUGUAUGGUUUACUGUUGCAAAUUGUUUAUAAAUUAUCCUUGGUUCUCUUGCCCCCCCCCCCCUUUUAGUUUGGCUUCGUUGAUUGAUGAUGAAUUUACAACAAUAUGGGGUAGAAGCUGUUUAUUCUGUUUGAACUAAAUCAGUCUCAAGUUAAAAUACAGAAGCCCUGGAUAUGUUUAUACCAUCCCUGAAAAUACUGGGUUUGGAUUUUUAUGUAUGUGUAGUAUGUAUGUCCUAUAAAAAUCAAAUCAUGAAGAUGUUUCUUCAAUGGAAAAAGUUGUUUUCUUCCUGCUUUAAUGUCUUCUAUAACAUCCCUAUUUAGUAACGGUUUUAUAGGAGGCCACAUUCAUGAUUCUGUACUAAAUUCUUCAUAACCUUUCCAUGAUUAUUGGAGUACAAUUCUCACAGGUGAGCAUGUGGAAUAUUUGUUAUUUACCCUGCUAUUAUAUCUCUCACCAUUUUUUGACCUUUAGCUAAUAUACCAUGUAUGUUAUUAGAAGAUGCAGAUUGUUCCAACAGUAGUGAGGGUUCCUUAUAGAAUAGUAUAAUGCUAACAAGGCUGGGGAUUCCAAAAGCUGGAUAUCAUCGCUACAAUAAGAUUUCCGUAUGAUACUACUGAAACUAAAUUGCCUUUCAUAAUUUCUAUAAACUUGACUGGGAAUGUUAAUUAUCAAAUAUUAAUUACUCUAGAGUUCUCAUACUGAAAAUAGGCACAUGAAUCCAAAAGCUGAAGCAAUAGUUACCACUUUAAUUCCUGCGGGUCUGUACGCUGGUUAUGUUAGUAAUCACCCCAAAAAUAGGUUCUUGGAUAUUAUUUUGCUGACAAAUCUGAUGUUGUUUCCUUCAACUAUCAUUAGGUAACACAGACAUCACUAAUUGUUUCCGCCAAUCAAAGUAUUACAGAACUUUUGACAGUUUACAUGCUUUGAUUAUAAGCUUGAUUACAUGCUUUGAUUAUGAGCCUGGGAAGCAGGCUUGUUUGUCAUAUGAACCACAUGCUACUGCAGGCUUGCUUGUGUUCUUUUCUUAGGGUCCGCCACUCUUGGGUGCCCUUUUGGUUAAUGGUCUAGGUGUUUCCUUGCAUGAUUGCUGCUGCAGGGUUGUAGUCGUACCGGUGGCCAUGAUUACUCCUCAUCAACUUCGUCGUGCUCAUGUGGACUAUUUAUUUCCAGCAACGCCAUCAAACCUUCAGAGGUUUCUCUCCGGUUUCCUGCGUCUGUAUGCUGAUUUGGUCAUGGAAUUCGAGCACCUCUGGUUUGUCUAUUUUCAUGGAAUGCCACUCUCAAAUUAGUCUGGGGUACUGAGCUUUGACCUAAAUCCCCAAUCAAAACAGAUUCCCCAUUCCCCAGUCCUCUCUCUGCCCAGCGCCAGUUCCGCCGUCGACUCUGACAAGCGUUCACCAACAACUGCCGCAAAAAAGGUGAUUCAAAGCCUGGCUUGUUGUCUCCUUCAUUGUCUCCUUCCGCCUCACGGCAAUUUCACUCUUCAAACUGAGAUCCAAGGUGGUGCUUAUGGAGAACAUGGACAUUGGUGUAACUGACGGUGAGUGGUCGAGCAAACCACCUGGACAGGCAAGGAAACAAAAAAGAACAACGAUUUAGCCCAUUAUCGAAUAUGACAAGAGCAAGGAAAUAUGUAACCUCGCAGGUUGGCGGAACUUUAUCUGCACAAGUUUUCUCACUCAUUGCGCAUGUGCAAAUUCUGUUCCUCUGCAUAUUAGUUUUACCAUUUGGUGUACAAAAAUAUUGUUCACCCUACAAAAAAUGUAUUUGUUCAUAAGCUUCUUAGAACACUUUGUAUUGUAGCUAAUCAUUUCCAUAUGCUCUAAUCGGUAUCUACGUAUUUUUAUACUCA
This is a non-coding RNA of Triticum urartu, 4480 nucleotides long. Lineage: Eukaryota; Viridiplantae; Streptophyta; Magnoliopsida; Poales; Poaceae. The record is from RefSeq and is a predicted model, not a curated record.